GUACAUCUCACUAUGGAACAGGUACAUCUCACUAUGGAACAGGUACAUCUGGAAUGCAACAGGUACAUCUUACUAUGGAACAGGUACAUCUCACUAUGGAACAGGUACAUCUGGAAUGGAACAGGUACAUCUGGAAUGGAACAGGU
Molecule: non-coding RNA, 146 nt
Organism: Oncorhynchus mykiss (rainbow trout)
Lineage: Eukaryota; Metazoa; Chordata; Actinopteri; Salmoniformes; Salmonidae
Source: RefSeq, a predicted model, not a curated record